Molecule: ribosomal RNA, 388 nt
Filed under: uncultured bacterium
Lineage: Bacteria
Description: bacterial SSU rRNA
Rfam family: Bacterial small subunit ribosomal RNA
Source: RNAcentral
GACGAACGCUGGCGGCGUGCUUAACACAUGCAAGUCGAGCGGUAAGGCCCUUUCGGGGGGUACACGAGCGGCGAACGGGUGAGUAACACGUGGGUGACCUGCCUUUAGCUCUGGGAUAAGCCUGGGAAACCGGGUCUAAUACCGGAUAUGACUCCGCGGCGCAUGUUGUGGGGUGGAAAGCCUUGUGCGGCUGGAGAUGGGCCCGCGGCCUAUCAGCUUGUUGGUGGGGUGAUGGCCUACCAAGGCGACGACGGGUAGCCGGCCUGAGAGGGCGACCGGCCACACUGGGACUGAGAUACGGCCCAGACUCCUACGGGAGGCAGCAGUGGGGAAUCUUGCGCAAUGGGCGAAAGCCUGACGCAGCGACGCCGCGUGAGGGAUGACGGCC